UAGGGAAUCUUCGGCAAUGGGGGGAACCCUGACCGAGCAACGCCGCGUGAGUGAAGAAGGUUUUCGGAUCGUAAAGCUCUGUUGUUAAGGAAGAACGAGUGUGAGAAUGGAAAGUUCAUACUGUGACGGUACUUAACCAGAAAGGGACGGCUAACUACGUGCCAGCAGCCGCGGUAAUACGUAGGACCCGAGCGUUGUCCGGAUUUAUUGGGCGUAAAGCGAGCGCAGGCGGUUAGAUAAGUCUGAAGUUAAAGGCAGUGGCUCAACCAUUGUAGGCUUUGGAAACUGUUUAACUUGAGUGCAGAAGGGGAGAGUGGAAUUCCAUGUGUAGCGGUGAAAUGCGUAGAUAUAUGGAGGAACACCGGUGGCGAAAGCGGCUCUCUGGUCUGUAACUGACGCUGAGGCUCGAAAGCGUGGGGAGCGAACAGG
RNAcentral lists this ribosomal RNA (429 nucleotides) under Bacteroidota bacterium. RNAcentral's name for it is "Bacteroidetes bacterium partial 16S ribosomal RNA". It matches the Rfam family "Bacterial small subunit ribosomal RNA", at positions 355 to 776 of the family's 1533-position model. The record is from RNAcentral. Lineage: Bacteria; Pseudomonadati; Bacteroidota.